RNAcentral lists this microRNA precursor (92 nucleotides) under Megaselia scalaris. RNAcentral describes it as "microRNA mir-241". The record is from RNAcentral. Lineage: Eukaryota; Metazoa; Arthropoda; Insecta; Diptera; Phoridae.
UAAAAAUGGCAAGACAAAAGAAGCGUCGAUUUGAAAAGAUUAAAACUGGUUCCUUUCAAAAUAGACGCUUCUUUUGUCUUGCCAUUUUUACA